GGGGGCGUAGCUCAGUGGUAGAGCGUGUGCUUAGCGUGCACGAGGUCCUGGGUUCAAUUCCCAGCGCCUCCA
Molecule: non-coding RNA, 72 nt
Organism: Sciurus carolinensis (gray squirrel)
Lineage: Eukaryota; Metazoa; Chordata; Mammalia; Rodentia; Sciuridae
Source: the annotation of a RefSeq genome assembly